Molecule: long non-coding RNA, 1007 nt
Organism: Rhodamnia argentea
Lineage: Eukaryota; Viridiplantae; Streptophyta; Magnoliopsida; Myrtales; Myrtaceae
Exons: 3
Source: RefSeq, a predicted model, not a curated record
UCCCAAGACGGGAGGAGAUUUGGGUGUGAGGCUUCGGAGGAAAAUGGGGAAGAUGGCUGGGUCGAAUGGGGACUACGAGGAGUGCCGUCGCCUGAGGGUGGAAGAGAACAGGAAGAGGAUGGAAUAGCUCCAUCUCAACAAGCUCGCCGCCGCCCUGCAGGUGAAGCAGAGCAAGAUGCGGGCUCCUCGAAAAUCAGUCAGAGCGCUCUUCCGUGCCCGUGAGAUGCUUGAGCCGCACGGCCAACAAACCUGCUCCUAUCUACUAUGAAAGACUACCAAUUGACUUCUGUCACAAGCAUCUCCCGCACCAAGACGACACUGUGACUCUUGUGGAUGAGGAUAGAGAAAAAGUUGGGGCCAAGUAUAUCUUUGAUUGGAACCGCUUUAGUGGUGGGUGGAAAGGUUUCUCUGUCACCCACGGUCUUGUCGGUGGAGAUACUCUGCUAUUCCAGCUGAUCUAGCCAUUGACAUUUAAGGUACAUAUCGUCCGAGCCUACGACUCCUCGGAGAAGGAAGCAGAAGUCUCUUUAAGAGGAGGAAGCAGAAGACCAUGAAGGAGAAGAAAGCGGAAAACUAUAAAGAGGAGGAAAGGGAAACAGAUGUUCGAUACCUAACCAGAAGCGACAAAUAGAUUAGAGUGAGUAAGAAGUUCUUGUUCUUUCAAACUUCUAAAUAUUGGUUGUAUUGUGUAAACAUCAAUGGCUUUUCACGAUCUAAAUCACUAUUUCAAGGCCGUGUCAAUUCUAACAAGAGGAUUGAAGGAAAUAUGAUGAAUGUGAACAAUUAUUGAAGCAAGUUGUAAAGUUAAUGCUAAACACUUGUUCUCAAACUUUACCAUCAACAGAGCAAACAUAUGUACCUAAAGGAUAUUACCAAGAGAUAUCCUACUCUCCCUAAGUAAUUAGUAUACUGAUCUUGUUCAUCCGGGCGUAAACUUAAGUUUAGUGUUUGUAUUUAGUUAAAUACGAAAUAGAUAUAUCGGCACAUUAUAAUAUUCUAAAACAUCG